This 429-nucleotide ribosomal RNA is filed under the name Acidobacteriota bacterium. RNAcentral's name for it is "Acidobacteria bacterium partial 16S ribosomal RNA". It matches the Rfam family "Bacterial small subunit ribosomal RNA", at positions 355 to 776 of the family's 1533-position model. The record is from RNAcentral. Lineage: Bacteria; Pseudomonadati; Acidobacteriota.
UGGGGAAUUUUGGACAAUGGGGGAAACCCUGAUCCAGCCAUCCCGCGUGUGCGAUGAAGGCCUUCGGGUUGUAAAGCACUUUUGGCAGGAAAGAAACGUCAUGGGUUAAUACCCCGUGAAACUGACGGUACCUGCAGAAUAAGCACCGGCUAACUACGUGCCAGCAGCCGCGGUAAUACGUAGGGUGCAAGCGUUAAUCGGAAUUACUGGGCGUAAAGCGUGCGCAGGCGGUUCGGAAAGAAAGAUGUGAAAUCCCAGAGCUCAACUUUGGAACUGCAUUUUUAACUACCGGGCUAGAGUGUGUCAGGGGGGGGUGGAAUUCCGCGUGUAGCAGUGAAAUGCGUAGAUAUGCGGAGGAACACCGAGGGCGAAGGCAGCCUCCUGGGAUAACACUGACGCUCAUGCACGAAAGCGUGGGUAGCAAACAGG